UGUGACAUCACAAUGCUCCAUUGUGAUAUCACAAUGCUCAAAUCUGCCAACACUAGGCUCCACGUGCUAAUAUAUUGCUCCAUGUGCCAUCACA
Molecule: microRNA precursor, 94 nt
Filed under: Nannospalax galili (Upper Galilee mountains blind mole rat)
Lineage: Eukaryota; Metazoa; Chordata; Mammalia; Rodentia; Spalacidae
Description: miRNA (ENSNGAG00000006044.1)
Source: RNAcentral